AAGUCGUAACAAGGUUUCCGUAGGUGAACCUGCGGAAGGAUCAUUAACACGUAUCCACGUAUCAACCCUUGUGCUCUUUGUUCUUGGAAUUGUGGAAUAUCAAUUGAGGUGAGAGCGAGUAACUUUUUCUUUCGGGAGAAGGGAACUUGUGAUUGUCUCUGUUGACGUUUCCAAAAAUCUAACCCCUUCAUUAUUUUCUUUAAACCCUUUGUACCUUUCUUACUGAAACUUGAUUGUCUUUUGAUUUCGCGAAAGGCUUCGGCUUUUUUGUGGAAUGAAAAACAAUUAUUUUACGAAAUGCUUGACAACUCUUAGCAACGGAUAUCUUGGUUCUC
Molecule: unclassified non-coding RNA, 335 nt
Filed under: fungal sp.
Lineage: Eukaryota; Fungi
Description: partial internal transcribed spacer region
Rfam family: Eukaryotic small subunit ribosomal RNA (bases 1-46)
Source: RNAcentral